CGGGAGCAGCACUACGUCUCUGGGCGUUACCUUCAGUCCCGCAAAGCAGCCCCCCUACAGUGCCGAGUGCAGCUUCGGCCGGGACUAGCCCAGCGGGCGGACCCGUCCCGGCCUUGGCCGCUAGGGUCGGUGCCGGUGCCGGUGCCGGACCACGUUGCAAGCCCGUCGAUUUGGAGGCGCGUUGGGAACAGGGCGCCCCUGAACCUGCCCCCCUGGGCGUUUGACGUCACCGUUGUCCAGUCCCUGCAUUUGCCCAGCGCCGGGGUUCAGCGGGGCCCCUCCCCCGCAGCUGAGCUCUGGACACCCGUCAAGGCUGAGGAGCCGCCCCGGCGCUGCCGGGCCCCCCGCAGUCGGAAGCGAGCGGGACGGGCAGGGGCGGAGGAAAAGUCGGGAACGGGGCUGCGGGGCUCCCCCUGCCGGCGGAGCGCGGGAAAGCAGAGCCCGGGGGAGGUGGGGGGGCGUGAGAGCGGGCGCGGAGCCCUUCCCUCCACCCACUCCACACGCUCCGCUGCAGCCGCAGCCAGCAGCCAGCACCUGGCCUCCGCUGGGGACAGGCGACGCACCUGCGGCGGCAGCAGCAAUCUGGGCACUUCACUCCCCGCUUCGCGAGCGGCCGGUGCAAGCCCCGGGAGCCCCUCUGCAGCGCCUGCGGACCCGGCACCUGCCCCCUUCUUCUUCUUCUCUGUCCGAUCGGCCGGUGACAGCCCCCGGCUGCACCUUUUCCUGAAGUCUGGGAGCCCCCACUCCACCCCCGCUCUUCCCUAUGGGGAUCCGAGAGUUUCCCAACGGCACGGCGAGGGGCAAGACCAUCACAAUUGGCAUGAGGAGAUCUCCAGAUGUCAGUCCCAGGAGGCUGUCAGACAUCAGCCCGCAGCUCCGGCAGCUCAAAUAUCUGGUGGUGGAUGAGGCGAUCAAAGAGGAUUUGAAAUGGUCCCGAUCCGUGGAGGAUCUCACCAGUGCUUCCGUGGGGCUCACUUCCAUCGAGGAAAGGAUUCUGCGGAUUACCGGGUAUUAUGGCUAUCAGCCCUGGGCUGCCAGCUACAAAAGUAAGUCUCUUGUUUAUGCCUUCUCUUCUCACCAGCGGUAGCAACACUCCUCCCCUCCCCCCUCAAUUUUGUCGUCUGCUGCUGCUGCAGCUUCUCAAGCUGCCUGCAGGGUGUGGGGCAGGGCUUGCAUUGCACUCAGAAUUUAACCCCGUCUCCCCUUUUCUGUGGCAACCCCUCACAUUGCUACUUCAAUGUCCCAGCAGUUUGGAGUGAUGGAAAUUAACUGCCUAAUUUUAUUUACUAUCCUCUUUUUUCCUAAACUGGAUCAUAUCAGCUUUGUCAGUUUUGUAGUUUCCUCUAAAAUAUUCCCUUUCCCUCAGUUGGAAGGUUUAAUUAUAUUUACUUUCUGAACCCCUGCUUUGCCUGUUGACAUUUGUGUCUGAUGAGAUUGAUAGCUACUUCAAUGCUAAACAGUGGAAAAAGUUGCUCACAAUCUGGGUCUGUGUUUGAUGUUGCACUAGGUGGUGGCAUUAUGAUCAAUUCAAUACAUAUUAGUGUGAGAUUUAAUCAUUUAAACUUUCUCCUUAUUAGGAAAAAUGCUGGUGAUUAUAGAACACAUGUUAGCUUUUGUAAUGGGGGGGAAAGGGAUUUCAGUUUAGUGCUGGAACUCAAGACAAAUGUGACCUGUACAAAAGGUUACUGUGACAUAACAUUGUUAAGUAAAUCAUUACAUUACAUGUAGGUUAAAGUUUGUAUCUUUUAUACUGAAAAUGAUAAUUUUUCACUUUUUUAGAAUGUCUAAGUUGAAAGAUUUAAAGAAAUGCUUUCAUUCUCUGCUAAAGGAUUUAGCACAUGAUAUUCAUUUUUUGUGUAAAAUCAGGCUCUGAGUGAUUUGAUGUUAAUCAUAUUAAAUUCAGUAUUAAAAACAUUGCGCUCUGUAUUGCUGAUGCCAUAAGUGAAGUAUAAUGAUCAGCUUAUUUGUGACAAUUGCUUCGGUGCUUUUUAAACCUGUAUUAGUUUUUGAAAGUAAUACAUUAUUCCAUAUCCUCUCCCUAAUAUCUUGAAGAAUCAUUGUAUUUUCACAGGAAUUAAACUUUUCCCUGAAUUAAAAUAUCUUUACCCUUUCCAACACAGCCUCCUGUUUGCAUGUUCAUAAACUUUGGUGAGAAACUUAUUCUAGUGUAUAGGGGUGUAAAGCUUGUGAUGAUAUCUUGAAAAGCUUUAAUAAACAUGUUGGAAAUAUUCA
Long non-coding RNA from Gopherus agassizii (Agassiz's desert tortoise), 2232 nucleotides. The record is from Ensembl. Lineage: Eukaryota; Metazoa; Chordata; Testudines; Testudinidae.